RNAcentral lists this ribosomal RNA (492 nucleotides) under uncultured bacterium. RNAcentral's name for it is "partial 16S ribosomal RNA". It matches the Rfam family "Bacterial small subunit ribosomal RNA", at positions 29 to 507 of the family's 1533-position model. The record is from RNAcentral.
AGUGAACGCUGGCGGUAGGCCUAACACAUGCAAGUCGAACGGCAGCACAGUAAGAGCUUGCUCUUACGGGUGGCGAGUGGCGGACGGGUGAGGAAUACAUCGGAAUCUACUUUUUCGUGGGGGAUAACGUAGGGAAACUUACGCUAAUACCGCAUACGACCUACGGGUGAAAGCAGGGGAUCUUCGGACCUUGCGCGAUUGAAUGAGCCGAUGUCGGAUUAGCUAGUUGGCGGGGUAAAGGCCCACCAAGGCGACGAUCCGUAGCUGGUCUGAGAGGAUGAUCAGCCACACUGGAACUGAGACACGGUCCAGACUCCUACGGGAGGCAGCAGUGGGGAAUAUUGGACAAUGGGCGCAAGCCUGAUCCAGCCAUACCGCGUGGGUGAAGAAGGCCUUCGGGCUGUAAAGCCCUUUUGUUGGGAAAGAAAAGCAGCAGGUUAAUACCCCGCUGUUUUGACGGUACCCAAAGAAUAAGCACCAGCUAACUUCGUG